AACGCGAAGAACCUUACCCGGGCUUGAACUGCCAGCGGACGAUACAGAGAUGUUGAGGCCCUUCGGGGCGCUGGCGGAGGUGCUGCAUGGUUGUCGUCAGCUCGUGCCGUGAGGUGUCGGCUUAAGUGCCAUAACGAGCGCAACCCCUCUCCGUAGUUGCCAUCAGGUGAUGCUGGGCACUCUGCGGACACUGCCACCGCAAGGUGUGAGGAAGGUGGGGACGACGUCAAAUCAGCACGGCCCUUACGUCCGGGGCUACACACGUGUUACAAUGGGGGGUACAGAGCGCCGGCUUGCCGCAAGGAGAGUCCAAUCGCCAAAGUCAUCCUCAGUUCGGACUGGGGUCUGCAACCCGACUCCACGAAGCUGGAUUCGCUAGUAAUCGCGCAUCAGCCAUGGCGCGGUGAAUACGUUCCCGGGUCUUGUACACACGC
This 434-nucleotide ribosomal RNA is filed under the name uncultured Prevotella sp. RNAcentral describes it as "bacterial SSU rRNA". It matches the Rfam family "Bacterial small subunit ribosomal RNA", at positions 958 to 1393 of the family's 1533-position model. Lineage: Bacteria; Pseudomonadati; Bacteroidota; Bacteroidia; Bacteroidales; Prevotellaceae. The record is from RNAcentral.